UGCAAGUCGAACGAUGAACCACUUCGGUGGGGAUUAGUGGCGAACGGGUGAGUAACACGUGGGCAAUCUGCCCUUCACUCUGGGACAAGCCCUGGAAACGGGGUCUAAUACCGGAUACGACUACUGAGGGCAUCCUCGGUGGUGGAAAGCUCCGGCGGUGAAGGAUGAGCCCGCGGCCUAUCAGCUUGUUGGUGAGGUAAUGGCUCACCAAGGCGACGACGGGUAGCCGGCCUGAGAGGGCGACCGGCCACACUGGGACUGAGACACGGCCCAGACUCCUACGGGAGGCAGCAGUGGGGAAUAUUGCACAAUGGGCGAAAGCCUGAUGCAGCGACGCCGCGUGAGGGAUGACGGCCUUCGGGUUGUAAACCUCUUUCAGCAGGGAAGAAGCGAAAGUGACGGUACCUGCAGAAGAAGCGCCGGCUAACUACGUGCCAGCAGCCGCGGUAAUACGUAGGGCGCAAGCGUUGUCCGGAAUUAUUGGGCGUAAAGAGCUCGUAGGCGGCUUGUCACGUCGAUUGUGAAAGCCCGAGGCUUAACCUCGGGUCUGCAGUCGAUACGGGCUAGCUAGAGUGUGGUAGGGGAGAUCGGAAUUCCUGGUGUAGCGGUGAAAUGCGCAGAUAUCAGGAGGAACACCGGUGGCGAAGGCGGAUCUCUGGGCCAUUACUGACGCUGAGGAGCGAA
RNAcentral lists this ribosomal RNA (684 nucleotides) under Streptomyces sp. RNAcentral describes it as "bacterial SSU rRNA". It matches the Rfam family "Bacterial small subunit ribosomal RNA", at positions 56 to 757 of the family's 1533-position model. Lineage: Bacteria; Bacillati; Actinomycetota; Actinomycetes; Kitasatosporales; Streptomycetaceae. The record is from RNAcentral.